AACGAACGCUGGCGGCAUGCCUAACACAUGCCAGUCGAACGAGACCUUCGGGUCUAGUGGCGCACGGGUGCGUAACGCGUGGGAACCUGCCCUUAGGUUCGGAAUAACUCCCCGAAAGGGGUGCUAAUACCGGAUAAUGUCUUCGGACCAAAGAUUAUCGCCUUUGGAUGGGCCCGCGUUGGAUUAGCUAGUUGGUAGGGUAAAAGCCUACCAAGGCGACGAUCCAUAGCUGGUCUGAGAGGAUGAUCAGCCACACUGGGACUGAGACACGGCCCAGACUCCUACGGGAGGCAGCAGUGGGGAAUAUUGGACAAUGGGCGAAAGCCUGAUCCAGCAAUGCCGCGUGAGUGAUGAAGGCCUUAGGGUUGUAAAGCUCUUUUACCCGGGAUGAUAAUGACAGUACCGGGAGAAUAAGCUCCGGCUAACUCCGUG
RNAcentral lists this ribosomal RNA (432 nucleotides) under uncultured bacterium. Its description in RNAcentral is "partial 16S ribosomal RNA". It matches the Rfam family "Bacterial small subunit ribosomal RNA", at positions 29 to 507 of the family's 1533-position model. The record is from RNAcentral.